This is a long non-coding RNA of Dreissena polymorpha, 496 nucleotides long. RefSeq lists it as uncharacterized. Lineage: Eukaryota; Metazoa; Mollusca; Bivalvia; Myida; Dreissenidae. The transcript has 3 exons. The record is from RefSeq and is a predicted model, not a curated record.
CAAUGUGCGGGAACAAAAACUGUCACAUGACCACAAAUGCGAACGACCACGGCUAUUUUUCGGAUAAAACGUCAAUCGAAGUAUUUUAACAAGAUGCGACGAAAAACAAAGCUUAACUUACAUAGAGUCAAAUCCAGAAGAUCGAAAUGUGGUUAUGCUGACAUGACGCGAGAACUGCUUCAACUUGUCGCGAAAGAUGAUGUAAACGCUCGGAAAACUUUGUUGCCACAAAAGAAAUUCAUCAACACCAAGAUCUCGAACAAAUCAGCACACCUAUGCAUGACGCCUUCGCGAACCAACAAACGCAAACUGACACCGUUGAAAUCUCCUAUUAAGACUCCUUUCAAAUCUCCCAUUUACAAAGCAAGAGCAAUCGACCAUUUAUAUACCGUACGGGACGAUCGCAUAAAUAUCAUCUGCUGGAGAAGUCUAAGGAUUUAUCAUCAGAGUGUGACCAGAACUGUGCGGCAUGCGUCUCUAGAUUCAGAGCAGUCGU